AGCGAACGCUGGCGGCAGGCCUAACGCAUGCAAGUCGAACGAACCUUUCGGGGUUAGUGGCGGACGGGUGAGUAACACGUGGGAACGUGCCUUUAGGUUCGGAAUAACUCAGGGAAACUUGUGCUAAUACCGAAUGUGCCCUUCGGGGGAAAGAUUAAUCGCCUUUAGAGCGGCCCGCGUCUGAUUAGCUAGUUGGUUGAGGUAAUGGCUCACCAAGGCGACGAUCAGUAGCUGGUCUGAGAGGAUGAUCAGCCACAUUGGGACUGAGACACGGCCCAAACUCCUACGGGAGGCAGCAGUGGGGAAUCUUGCGCAAUGGGCGAAAGCCUGACGCAGCCAUGCCGCGUGAAUGAUGAAGGUCUUAGGAUUGUAAAAUUCUUUCACCGGGGACGAUAAUGACGGUACCCGGAGAAGAAGCCCCGGCUAACUUCGUG
Molecule: ribosomal RNA, 434 nt
Filed under: uncultured bacterium
Lineage: Bacteria
Description: partial 16S ribosomal RNA
Rfam family: Bacterial small subunit ribosomal RNA
Source: RNAcentral